This is a long non-coding RNA of Gopherus flavomarginatus (Mexican gopher tortoise), 1658 nucleotides long. RefSeq lists it as uncharacterized. Lineage: Eukaryota; Metazoa; Chordata; Testudines; Testudinidae. The record is from RefSeq and is a predicted model, not a curated record. The transcript is spliced from 3 exons.
AAGCGCAGGCAGGGGAAUUCUCUACCAACCCCUCCCGAUUUAUUUCAGUUUUUGAAGGCUGUCUGGUUAGUCAUAAACCUGACUGGGAUGACUGCCAGGUACUUCUGUGAACACUCCUCUCUGAAGUGGAGUGAAACCAGGUUUUAGCUAAGGCAUGGGCAGAAGCAGAACGAAGAUAUGAGCAAAGUCUUGAUGCUUAGAAGGAGGCCAGGGAGGAAUUACAGAAAAUUAUAGAUAAAUUCCUGCAGUGUGGGGUAUUGCAGGAGUGUCACUCAGCUUGGAAUACCCCUAUCUUACCAGUCCAGAAACCGGACAGCAGUUAUCGAUUGGUUCAGGACUUAAGAGCAGUCAACGAGAGGGUUAAGACUCUACACCCCCUCGUGCCCAAUCCAUAUACGCUGCUAGCCUCUGUGGGGGGACAGUAUUCGGUUUCUCAGUUCUUGAUUUAAAAGAUGCCUUUUUCACGAUUCUGGUGGACACACAGUCCCAGGAAAUUUUCUCCUUCGAAUGGGAAGACACAAACAGGAAUAAAAGGUAGCUGUGAUGGACGGUGCUGGCACAAAGAUUUAAGAACUCCCACACUCUCUUCGGUCAAGCUUUAUCUCGGGACUUGGAAAAAUGGGAAAAUAAGAAGAAAGUCCUUCUCCUGCAGUACGUUGAUGAUUUAUUAAUAGCAGCAGUGGGACUGGAAGUAUGUCUCCAGGCAACCAUACAUUAAGGACUCUCAGCCACUCCCUUUGGAUGCACCUGUCCAUUCCCUACAGCCAGGUGACUUCGUCCUUGUCUGUACCUGGAAGGACGAACACCUCCUGGAACAGUGGGAAGGACCCUAUCUCGUCUUACUGGUUUCCCACACGGCGGCUAAAGUAGAGGGACACAAAAGCUGGAUUCACUACUCCUGACUAAAAGCUGUACCUCCACCGCAGAAUCCAGACCCCGAGCAGUGGAUGGCUCAGCCUACCGGGACCGGAGCAUCGGAAGAUUUGGGAUUCAAGUUAUUAUUUAAACGCAAAUCACUCUAAUUUGGCCAUGUUUUUAAUACUUGUAUGGGUGUUUACUGUUUCUGGACAGCUGGCCCCUUUAUCCUUCCGCUCCCCAGAAAAUAACUGGUGGGCCCUUUUAGCUGUCACAGCCUCUAAUUCUUCCCACUUUUGUGUAGGGAGUGGUUACACUUUAGGGUCUGUAUUUACUACUUGUUUUGUGGGGGUGGCUACGCCCUUGCAAGAAAUUCACAAAUAUACUAAACUUGCUGGUUUCAAUAUUAAAUUGACAGCUGGGCAUCUGUCUCAGUUUGGUUCUAUCUCAAGUCCUAAGCCCUGUACAAACCAGCAUCGUCUUCAGAUUAGGCUAAUGGCCGUGUCCUCAAAUGUUACUUCCUGUUUUACUAUUGUAGGGGCAUGGAAGGUUGAUACUAAUUUAACCAACCAUGAGAUGAAUUCUUCUGUUUCCCCAACCCCGACUUCUUAUUUUUUUUGCACACUUAUAUCUUCCCCGUGGGUGGUUUUUGCUCUGCGGACUAACCGCAUUUACCUAUGUCCCAGCUAACACACUGAAAAUAGACUGGCUAAGUUGCGUGACAUUGUCACUCACAUAACGCAAAAUAGUGACAAUAAUUGGUGGGGUUCUUGGGGUUUUGGUAAUUGGCUUGGGUGGCUAAA